UCACAAAAUUAAUUCCCAGCCCAAUCAAUGUUUUUUGUAGCAACCCAGUUCCCCCAUGACCCCUAACCCAUCAAAACUCCAGCCUUUUUGUUCCUAAUACUCGAUCCAUUUUUUCCUUCCCCAAAAGAAUUCAGUCUUUCCUGAUGUACGCAACAUUUCCCCACGCCUUGCUCUAUCCGUUUUCCUCACGGCGUGGGGAGAAACAAUGGUCCCCAAAAAGUGUGCCACCAGCAGCAAAUGCGACGACAACGGUUCCAGCAGCAGGCGCGUGAACAAUGUACCCAUCUCUUCUACUUCGAUGUCUUUCCAAACUCGAUACUUUCUCCUUUCUGCGCUUGUACGAGCCCAACAGCAGCUCCAGGCACGCGAGAGUCGUCUUUGGGACGACGAGAUUGAGCCAUGUCACCAUUCCAAGGGUGAUGAAACCAUCUAUACCCUUUCGCCCCAUCUAGAAUAGAGCCACAAGCCUCAGAAAAAGUUGUUGAUCCCAAAUUUGUGGAAGGGACAAGUUUUCAAAUUUUGAAAUAACCCUUGGUUUUGGUCGAUUCUGCCCUCACCUCUUCCUUUAAGAAAACCCUAAUCGUCCUCUAUGUAUCUCUUUCCUAUUCACUGUUUGAGGGGAGUUAGGGGGGGGGGGUUAUUUUUUAGGUAGAGUAUUUUUUUUUUUGAGUUUAAAAAAAGGGCGAGCAAUUUUUUUCUUUGGAAUUCAACUCCUUUAAGUUGGUUUACAACUAGCAGGAGGACACUGAGACAGACGGAACUUGGGAAAAGGAGUUUGAUUUUUCUAGUUGAAUUUUUUUUUGGGAAAUUCCUUGAUCAGGAACGUCAAGGGCAGCUUAUAGAAACAUGAUAAGACAUUCGAAACAGAGUUAUGUUCUAGUUUUCUAGUUGCGUCGUGUCCUCUCAAACCCCGUUUGAAGUCGAGCUUUGUGGUCGGAAGAUUGUGUUUGUUCAGCUCGCUCUAUCUCCAGCUCGCGGCACUCAAAAAAGCCCUCCCGAAUCUCUGGAGACUCUUCCCCUCAUAUUUUGGAAAAAUCAAAGACUUAUACUUCCAUCCAUCGAGUCAAUCCACGUAUUCAACGCACAGGUCCCGAAGCGGAAGAAGUUGAAGAGAUUGGGCCUCAAAGAACCAAAGUCAGUUGAAAGAUUGUAUUUCGGGCAUAAGCCCUUGUCGUCUUAUUUUAUUUUAUUUUAUUUAUUUAUUGAUUAUUGUAAGAUUAGUUUAGAAUAGGUACAAACACAAAUUGGUCAAAAAAUCCAAAAAAAGUUGGUCUAAAUAUCGGUCUAGGAGAACAUAUAACCCGGAUUUUGACUCAACUCUCUCUCUC
Long non-coding RNA from Solanum lycopersicum (tomato), 1328 nucleotides. RefSeq lists it as uncharacterized. The record is from RefSeq and is a predicted model, not a curated record. Lineage: Eukaryota; Viridiplantae; Streptophyta; Magnoliopsida; Solanales; Solanaceae.